UGUUCUGGGCCGCACGCGCGC
Molecule: non-coding RNA, 21 nt
Filed under: Arabidopsis thaliana (thale cress)
Lineage: Eukaryota; Viridiplantae; Streptophyta; Magnoliopsida; Brassicales; Brassicaceae
Source: RNAcentral